Nylanderia fulva is the source of this 203-nucleotide long non-coding RNA. RefSeq lists it as uncharacterized. The record is from RefSeq and is a predicted model, not a curated record. Lineage: Eukaryota; Metazoa; Arthropoda; Insecta; Hymenoptera; Formicidae.
GAUUAACAUCCUCUAACUCCACCGCUGACAUCGUACUGCGACUUCGACGACCUUGCACCGACUCCGACUCCACCAGAAUGGCGUCAAGGUCCAGUAGGAACUACUCGCGCUUCUCGCCCAGCCUUCCUCGGGAACAAAAGGACCUGCGACAACGGUGGACUCUUGAUUGGGCUCUAAGUACAAUUUCGUGACGUACUUCUACG